RNAcentral lists this ribosomal RNA (497 nucleotides) under uncultured bacterium. RNAcentral describes it as "partial 16S ribosomal RNA". It matches the Rfam family "Bacterial small subunit ribosomal RNA", at positions 28 to 507 of the family's 1533-position model. The record is from RNAcentral.
GACGAACGCUGGCGGCGUGCCUAAUACAUGCAAGUUGAGCGAUGAAGAUUGGUGCUUGCACCAAUUUGAAGAGCAGCGAACGGGUGAGUAACGCGUGGGGAAUCUGCCUUUGAGCGGGGGACAACAUUUGGAAACGAAUGCUAAUACCGCAUAAUAACUUUAAACAUAAGUUUUAAGUUUGAAAGAUGCAAUUGCAUCACUCAAAGAUGAUCCCGCGUUGUAUUAGCUAGUUGGUGAGGUAAAGGCUCACCAAGGCGAUGAUACAUAGCCGACCUGAGAGGGUGAUCGGCCACAUUGGGACUGAGACACGGCCCAAACGCCUACGGGAGGCAGCAGUAGGGAAUCUUCGGCAAUGGACGAAAGUCUGAACGAGCAACGCCGCGUGAGUGAAGAAGGUUGUCGGAUCGUAAAACUCUGUUGGUAGAGAAGAACGUUGGUGAGAGUGGAAAGCUCAUCAAGUGACGGUAACUACCCAGAAAGGGACGGCUAACUACGUG